Molecule: ribosomal RNA, 440 nt
Filed under: uncultured bacterium
Lineage: Bacteria
Description: bacterial SSU rRNA
Rfam family: Bacterial small subunit ribosomal RNA
Source: RNAcentral
CCUANGGGUGGCUGCAGUGGGGAAUAUUGGACAAUGGGCGCAAGCCUGAUCCAGCCAUGCCGCGUGAGUGACGAAGGUCUUCGGAUUGUAAAGCUCUUUUGCCAGGGACGAUAAUGACGGUACCUGGAGAAUAAGCCCCGGCUAACUUCGUGCCAGCAGCCGCGGUAAUACGAAGGGGGCUAGCGUUGUUCGGAAUUACUGGGCGUAAAGCGCGCGUAGGCGGAUUUGUAAGUUAGGGGUGAAAUCCCGGGGCUCAACCUCGGAACUGCCUUUGAUACUGCAAGUCUAGAGUCCGGAAGAGGUGAGUGGAAUUCCUAGUGUAGAGGUGAAAUUCGUAGAUAUUAGGAAGAACACCAGUGGCGAAGGCGGCUCACUGGUCCGGUACUGACGCUGAGGUGCGAAAGCGUGGGGAGCAAACAGGAUUAGAUACCCCUNUANUC